GUGUUCACUGCGGCAGCGCAUGUGCUGACACUGGAACAAUACAGAGACGAUUAGCAUGGCCUCUGCACAAGGAUGAUAUGCAAACUUGUGAAGCGUUCUAUAUUUUC
Small nuclear RNA from Saimiri boliviensis boliviensis (Bolivian squirrel monkey), 107 nucleotides. The record is from Ensembl. NCBI's taxonomy places the organism in Eukaryota, Metazoa, Chordata, Mammalia, Primates, Cebidae.